AGAGUUUGAUCAUGGCUCAGAGCGAACGCUGGCGGCGUGCUUAACACAUGCAAGUCGAGUGCGCGUCCGUAGCAAUACGGAUGGCGCACGGCGCACGGGUGCGUAACACGUGGGCAAUCUGCCCUCGGAUGGGGGAUACCCCCGCGAAAGCGGGACUAAUACCGCAUGAAAUUCCGGAGACCUCGGUUUCUGGAUUCAAAGGUCGCAAGAUCGUCUGAGGAGGAGCCCGCGCCCGAUUAGCUAGUUGGUGAGGUAACGGCUCACCAAGGCUUUGAUCGGUAGCCGGUCUGAGAGGAUGGCCGGCCACACUGGAACUGAGACACGGUCCAGACUCCUACGGGAGGCAGCAGUGGGGAAUAUUGCGCAAUGGGCGAAAGCCUGACGCAGCGACGCCGCGUGGGGGAUGAAGCUUCUCGGAGUGUAAACCCCUUUCGACCCGGACGAAUGACCCGCAAGGGUUUGACGGUACGGGUAUAAGAAGCCCCGGCUAACUACGUGCCAGCAGCCGCGGUAAUACGUAGGGGGCCAGCGUUGCUCGGAAUUACUGGGCGUAAAGGGUUCGUAGGUGGUGCGGCAAGUUGGGAGUGAAAUCUCUGGGCUUAACCCAGAGGCUGCUUUCAAAACUGCCGUGCUCGAGUGCGAGAGAGGUCAGUGGAAUUGCAGGUGUAGCGGUGAAAUGCGUAGAUAUCUGCAGGAACACCCGUGGCGAAGGCGGCUGACUGGAUCGCAACUGACACUGAGGAACGAAAGCUAGGGGAGCAAACAGGAUUAGAUACCCUGGUAGUCCUAGCCCUAAACCAUCAGAACUUGGGGUGGCCCGCGUAGGCGGGUCGUCCCGUAGCUAACGCGUUAAGUUCUGCGCCUGGGGAGUACGUCGCA
RNAcentral lists this ribosomal RNA (879 nucleotides) under uncultured bacterium. RNAcentral's name for it is "bacterial SSU rRNA". It matches the Rfam family "Bacterial small subunit ribosomal RNA", at positions 8 to 890 of the family's 1533-position model. The record is from RNAcentral.